CGGUGACAUCCUCUUCGAAGGAAAUCGAAGGAUUCGCAUUCCAGGUCGUCCGUGCAAUAAGCACGAAAGGUUAAACCAAAAACUGUGAUAAAACUGUGAUAUAGUGUAGUUGUUUGUUUUGUGCAGAUCCUUGGGUUUUCUGGGUAUUUGCGUUUUCAUAUCAUAUCGGUUUAAAACUUAAAUGUGUGGUCGUGACCCGUGACGUCGAAAUCCUAUGCGAUCCUGCAAACAGCCGAAGUCCUUAACUGGCGACUUUCAGCACAGCUGAAAGUUAGUCCAGUUGACGAGCGGCUUGUUUAGUGAAAAUUCGGACGAAAUUGUAGACGCAAGACGACUGGCGCGGAGUCUACCGGCUGGUGAUCGGCUCCAUCUCCCCUUAUUGAGGCUGAAA
Molecule: long non-coding RNA, 391 nt
Organism: Drosophila gunungcola (fruit fly)
Lineage: Eukaryota; Metazoa; Arthropoda; Insecta; Diptera; Drosophilidae
Exons: 3
Source: RefSeq, a predicted model, not a curated record